RNAcentral lists this ribosomal RNA (377 nucleotides) under uncultured bacterium. RNAcentral's name for it is "bacterial SSU rRNA". It matches the Rfam family "Bacterial small subunit ribosomal RNA", at positions 521 to 896 of the family's 1533-position model. The record is from RNAcentral.
UAAUACAGAGGCCCCAAGCGUUACUGAGAAUCACUGGGUUUAAAGGGUGCGUAGGUGGUCCGUUAAGUCCGUUGUGAAAUCCCUGGGCUCAACCCAGGAACUGCUUCGGAUACUGGCGGACUUGAGGCUAGUAGGGGUCACUGGAACUGACGGUGGAGCGGUGAAAUGCGUAGAUAUCGUCAGGAACGCCAAUGGUGAAGACAGGUGACUGGGCUAGAUCUGACACUGAGGCACGAAAGCGUGGGGAGCGAACGGGAUUAGAUACCCCGGUAGUCCACGCCCUAAACGAUGCAGACUAGACUGCAGCGGGUUACACCCCGUUGCGGUCGGAGCGAAAUUGUUAAGUCUGCCACCUGGGAAGUACGGUCGCAAGGCUA